Molecule: long non-coding RNA, 2617 nt
Organism: Cyprinus carpio carpio
Lineage: Eukaryota; Metazoa; Chordata; Actinopteri; Cypriniformes; Cyprinidae
Source: Ensembl
GUGAAAACGAAAGUUGAACAGCAGAUCAAAUCUUCGCGAGUGCAUGUUUCCUGUAAUCAUGUGUUUCAUGCAAAAGCGUUCAUGUUAUAAAUCACAUAUGUGGGAAUUACCUGUAUUUAUUUUCUUUAACUAAUCAGUCUGAAAACGGUGAAGAGAGCGACGAGACCUGAAACACUUCCUGAAAUGGCAGCGAUCUGCAGCUCCAGUCCAGAUGAUCCAGUGAUCCGGAUUCUUCUGAAACGGUUCUGGAGAAAGCUCAUCUGUGGGGGCGAUUCACAAAAGACAAAAGAAGUAAAAUAAAAACAAACAAUGUAGAAACUCAAAGAAGAGACUGGAGAACUGAACUCUGGGAAGGCACUCCCUGUGAAAAACCCGAGUUUAUGAUAUUCACAGAUCACUGGAUUAACUGGGACGUGUGGAGGGAAUUACCACUUGAUUUGGUUGAUUUUGUUUGUUGGAGGCGACGGAGUUUCGGAUGGUUUCCUUCCUGCCCUCUUCUGCUGAAGGAGGAGCCUUUCUUUUGGCUGAACGGCUCAUAAUGAACUAGAUGUUUAUGCCUAGUCCUACAAUACAGCUCUUCAGAAUUCUGCUGUCACUUUUCCAUUUUGCCCAAGGACCCGCUUAAGUGUUAAAACAUGCCUAACAUCAGUGUGAAGUGUGCAGAGAUUGAGACUGACAGAGGGUUUGAGUUCAAGCUUCCCUCUGAUUCACUGAAUCACACACUCAGAGACUGUGAGCAGAGCUGGACGGGCGUCUGAUAGCAGAUCCAUCAGAUCCUCAAACACUGAUUGAUCCUGUGACGGCUGUAAAAUCUGAUCGUCUCGUCACGUCUCGCUGUGUGAAUCUAAAUCAUGAGAUCAUCUGUGAUUCUGCUGAUGGACAUCAUUUCAGUCGUGUGACCGCAUUCAGAGUGAGGAAUGAAACUGCAGCGACUCCAAACUCAGGUGAGUUUCAGCUGAUAAACGUCUGAUUAUUCACUAAUAAAACACUGCAGAUCUGAUCCACUUUCACUCUUUUCUCUCAUAUUGACUCAUUGUGUGUUUUUGAAAGAUCUCCUGAAUGAAGUGAGUCCAGAUCUCCAACAUUCAGUAGAUCACUUCUGGUGGCUUUUGGCUGUUUUCAUCAUUGUUCUUCUCAUCAUCUUCUUGAUCUGUUUGUUGAAGCGUAAAAGCAUUUUCAGAUGUUUUCAGAGGUUCAUCUGUCAGCGUGACGAUGAUGAUUCAGAAAACAGGUGAGUGAUUCCUGAACAACACUGAGAUCAUGGAUUUGAUUCACACAGAAUGAAUGAAUGAAUCAAAUGAGCUGUUUGAAUGCAGUGAGAGUGAUUCAGAUAAAUGAAUAAAUGUAAUGGAGUGAAUCACUUGAACACUGAAGAGGUGAAACAGGCGGAUGCUGUGAUCUGAUGAGAAUGAAUCUUCAUCUGCUGUAAGUGAAUCUUUAUCUCUGUGACUCUUCAUCUGCUGAAUCUGAAUGUGUUUCUCUCAGGGAUCCUGAAGCUGCUGUCCAAAUGAUCUGAUGCUCCUGAUUCACUGAAUCAAUCUCAGUGUGAAUCGACUCACGUCAUUAUUUACUCAAACGUCACUGUGAUCUUUGACAUGAAGAUGAUGAAGGGAGUUUGUGUUCAUUCUGAGCUUCUCAACUCUUAUUUAUUCUCGUUCGUCCUCAACUGUAAUGCAAAUGAAUACAUGAGAUAUAAAACACUGCAAGAUCUUACAAUCAAAAUGUGUGUUUGUUUUGUUCAUCAUUCAUCAAUUUAAUCAUUCAUGAUCAUUCCGUCAUUUACAUCUAUUCAUUCAAUCGUUUAUAUUGUUUUAUGUUUUAGAUUAUUAUUAUUAGGUUGUUCAUCCUGGUGUUUUUUAUGCUUCAUGUAAUGUGUGUCAUCAUGAAUGAGAUGAGGGUGAAUGUCUCCAGCUGCAGGGUUUUAAAGGAUGUCUUGUUAUACAGUAAUAACUCUUGCUGUAGGUUGUACUGAUCAGAUGAAGUCAGACUGAGCAGUGAAACAGACACAACUAAGGUUUUGCAGAGGAGCAGUCAUCUGAGUGUUCAAACUAAAAUCAGGUGGAAAGAACAGCAGGAGAGGAAAAAUAAACAGAUGAAGUAUCAGAUUGGUGAUGUAUGUCUUGUGUAAGCAGAUGCUUGCUGCACAGCAGUCUGUGUUUCCCUACAUAUGACAAACUACUGUGAAACAAUUAUCAUACUCUGAAGGAGCAAAACAGUAGAUAUAAGCUGUAAAUAUGGAAAGCAAUAUGUAAUCAAUGUUUGUACAGAUUGUGUGGAUCUUGCAUCAAAAUAUUAAUAUAAGCACACCUAGUCAUACUUUUGAGAUGGCAUGAUGAUAAUUAACUGGAAUAAUUGAAUUAAAAACAUUAAAUAGUGAGAAGACUGCAGCUGCUUCUGCUGGGAAUGAGAGUGAAGGUGAGCCUUGGGUAGUCGAAGAAUUGAACAAUUCAUACACAAAUAUGAUUCAGAGUUCUGCAUUAACAUGCAUGUGAUACUGUACUAUACUGUACUAUACUGCAAGAUAUAUACCUGCUUUUUAGUUUAAUACACCCCUGCCUUGGUGAAACACAGUAACUGACUUAAAUAUAAAGCACUGUAUAAAUAAAGGUGAAUUGAC